UACGUAGGGUGCGAGCGUUAAUCGGAAUUACUGGGCGUAAAGCGUGCGCAGGCGGUUAUUUAAGUCAGGUGUGAAAGCCCUGGGCUUAACCUAGGAAUUGCGCUUGAGACUGGAUAGCUUGGAGUGCGGCAGAGGGAGGUGGAAUUCCACGUGUAGCAGUGAAAUGCGUAGAUAUGUGGAGGAAUACCGAUGGCGAAGGCAGCCUCCUGGGCCAACACUGACGCUCAUGCACGAAAGCGUGGGGAGCAAACAGG
This 254-nucleotide ribosomal RNA is filed under the name uncultured bacterium. RNAcentral's name for it is "partial 16S ribosomal RNA". It matches the Rfam family "Bacterial small subunit ribosomal RNA", at positions 524 to 776 of the family's 1533-position model. The record is from RNAcentral.